Molecule: long non-coding RNA, 1916 nt
Organism: Xenopus laevis (African clawed frog)
Lineage: Eukaryota; Metazoa; Chordata; Amphibia; Anura; Pipidae
Exons: 2
Source: RefSeq, a predicted model, not a curated record
UUUAAUUUUCCAUCUUCUUAUGUCUUUCUAAAGCAGCUCUGGGAGAGAGGUCAGCGACUCAGUAACUGCUCAAAAUUGAUACAUUAGUUAAUACGUUUGAGCAGUUAAAUCCCUUGUGAAAACCAGUUUGUAAUAAGACAAGCUGUUGUCUAUGUACUGACUUAAACCAAAUUAACCUAUAAAGAUUUUUCUUUGACAUUUUCAUUAUGGCAGAGAUAUUUUGGUAGAAAAAAAAUCAGUAAAGUCUCCAUGUGUCAAGGAGCAGAAGUUAUAAGUUGCAUGAUGUUAUGCAGUCUCCAUCGUAGAAUCAGUCAAAGAAUUUAAACCACAAGUAGUACACUAGCAUUGGAAUUCAGCAACAACGCAUGUUAUAAUAACAGUAUAGCAAAACAUGCAGCACAAAUGUUCAUAUGUGGAGAAAACAUAAAACAGUCAUACUAUAACCCAAUCCAGAGCUUUUUGACACUGCAUAAUUUAUUUCUACUAAAUAAAAACAAGAGGAUGCUUGUGACAGUGGUUAGCAAAAACUAGGCACUUGAAGCACCUUGUGUAUGAAAAUAAAAUCUUUGUACAUCUCCAAAAGGUGGCUCAAUUGCAAUUUUAAACAUUCGUCGAACGAAAUGUCCAUGGAAAUCAGUUUAUGCAAAAAUGUAAAACUUUCACUUGUGCCCAGCUGAGUGUAAAUACCUCACCACAAAUCCACAAUGCAACGAGGCUUCCUUUGUACACUGGUAGCAAAAGAGCACAGAUAGUUAUUAGUGGUUACGUUAAAAAGUGCAUUUAAUAAAUAAGUGGAAUGUGUGGAAAUGCCAGGCAUUGGAGAAGAGCAACUACAUGCCAACAAAUCAAAAAUCUAUCUGACCUUGCUUCACUAGUUUCUAAUUCCUGACUAACAACACAAGAAGCAUUUAUUUACACAGUGAAGGAACUAGGUGGGGGCGGGCCCUGGUGCGGGCCGUGCAGCCGGGCCCCGCCCCCACCACCGUCCGUGCGGCUGCAGCCGAAUCCAGUGGGUGUGUGACUGCCGGGGGGCCCUGCUCCCCCAGUAGUUACGCCACUGUAUUUACACCACCAGCUUAAUGAUAUUUACACAUGAAAUAACUACCACUAAUAGAAUAGCAAUAGUUCGGGCUGAAUGAUGUGGAAACAACUACUUUGAUAACAUGGGGGACAUCAUCACUCCAUUUGUCUCUAGUAUAAUCAUUUCUAAUGUGAGAGAAGGAAUCAAAUACAGGCAUGGGUCAGGUCAGGACCUUUAAGUUAGCUUUUAGUAUAUUAUAGAAUGGCCAACUUUUCAAAUUGGUCUUCAUUAUUUUUUUAAUAUAGUUUUUAAAUAAUUUGCCUUCUUUUUGACUCUUUCCAUCUUUCAAAUGGGGGUCACUGACCCCAUCUAAAAACAAAUGGUCCAUAAAGCUAAAUUUUUAUUGUUAUUGCUCAUCUUUCUAUUCAGGUCCUCUCCUAUUCAUAUUCCAGUCUCUUAUUCAAAUCAAUGCAUGGUAGUUAGGGUAAGUUGGACCCUUGCAAACUAGAUUGCUAAAAUUGCAGAAUAAAAAGCUAAACAACUCAAAUAGUAAAAAAUGAAAACCAAUUGCAAAUUGUCUCAGAAUAACAGUCUCUACAUCAUACUAAAAUUUAACUCAAAGGUGAACAACCCCUUUAAUAAACAUACGUUUUGCGGCUACAUUCAGCUUUCAUUAAAUGUGUUUUAAUAUCCCAUCUGCAGUUCGUUAACAUCUAUUAAUCAUACAUAUAACUUUAGUAAGCUGUGGGGCGCAGUUCUACUUCACAACAGUUUAACUCAAAAUAUUAGGUUGCUAUAGCAAUAGAAUUAUUUCCCUGUUACUUUUCUUCCUUGUUAUACAUCUCCAGCAUGAUUUCCUUCUGAAGUAGAAAGAUGUAUUUGGCCAACCAAAGGA